AAGUCGUAACAAGGUUUCCGUAGGUGACCUGCGGAAGGAUCAUUCAUAAUAAGUGUUUUAUGGCACUUUUUAAAUCCAUAUCCACCUUGUGUGCAAUGUCAGUCGAUCUUCUUCAUGGAGAUCGACCAAACAUCAACCUUUAUUUUUUAACUCUUUGUCUGAAAAAUAUUAUGAAUAAACAAUUCAAAAUACAACUUUCAACAACGGAUCUCUUGGCUCUCGCAUCGAUGAAGAACGCAGCGAAAUGCGAUACGUAAUGUGAAUUGCAGAAUUCAGUGAAUCAUCGAAUCUUUGAACGCAUAUUGCGCUCUUUGGUAUUCCGAAGAGCAUGCUUGUUUGAGUAUCAGUAAACACCUCAAAGCUUUUGGAUUUUUUAAUCGAAAAGCUUUGGACUUGAGCAAUCCCAACACCAAUCUUUUUGAGAUCGGUGGCGGGUUGCUUGAAAUGCAGGUGCAGCUGGACAUUCUCCUGAGCUAAAAGCAUAUUCAUUUAGUCCCGUCAAACGGAUUAUUACUUUUGCUGCAGCUAACAUAAAGGGAGUUUGACCGUAUUGGCUGACUGAUGCAGGAUUUCACAAGGGUCGGCAACGAUUCUUGUUAAACUCGAUCUCAAAUCAAGUAAGACUACCCGCUGAACUUA
RNAcentral lists this unclassified non-coding RNA (639 nucleotides) under Linnemannia elongata. RNAcentral's name for it is "Mortierella elongata partial contains 18S rRNA, ITS1, 5.8S rRNA, ITS2 and 26S/28S rRNA". The stretch from base 193 to 346 matches the Rfam family "5.8S ribosomal RNA". The record is from RNAcentral. Lineage: Eukaryota; Fungi; Mortierellomycota; Mortierellomycetes; Mortierellales; Mortierellaceae.